This 673-nucleotide ribosomal RNA is filed under the name uncultured bacterium. RNAcentral describes it as "bacterial SSU rRNA". It matches the Rfam family "Bacterial small subunit ribosomal RNA", at positions 20 to 708 of the family's 1533-position model. The record is from RNAcentral.
UGGCUCAGAAUGAACGUUGGCGGCGUGGAUUAGGCAUGCGAGUCGCGCGAGAAUGUAGCAAUACAGGACAGCGGCGAAAGGGAGAGGACAACACGGGAAUCUGCCUUGGGGACGAGGAUAGCGUCGGGAAGCUGACAGUAAUACUCGAUAAUGUUUGCGGACCAAAGGUGUGAUUCCGCCCCAAGAUGAGCCCGUGCCCCAUUAGCUAGUUGGCAGGGUAAUGGCCUACCAAGGCUGUGAUGGGUAGCUGGUGUGAGAGCACGACCAGCCUCACUGGCACUGAGACACUGGCCAGACACCUACGGGUGGCUGCAGUCGAGAAUCUUCGGCAAUGGACGAAAGUCUGACCGAGCGACGCCGCGUGCGGGAUGAAGGCCUUCGGGUUGUAAACCGCUGUCGUAGGGAAUCAAAUGCAUAGGGGUACUCCCCUUUGUUUGAGAGAUCCUAGGAGGAAGGAGAGGCUAAGCUCGUGCCAGCAGCCGCGGUAAGACGAGCUCUCCAAACGUUAUUCGGUAUUACUGGGCUUAAAGAGUUCGUAGGCGGCUCUGUAGGUGAGAUGUGAAAGCCCUCGGCCUAACCGAGGAACUGCGUUUCAAACCACAGGGCUUGAGGGAGAUAGGGGUAAGCGGAACAGAUGGUGGAGCGGUGAAAUGCAUUGAUAUCAUCUGGAACA